This 1416-nucleotide unclassified non-coding RNA is filed under the name Leishmania donovani. Its description in RNAcentral is "gene:LdHU3.28.0850(CDS-product:ATP_synthase_subun it_H_putative)". Lineage: Eukaryota; Euglenozoa; Kinetoplastea; Trypanosomatida; Trypanosomatidae. The record is from RNAcentral.
AGCUACACAUAUUCGCUUUUACCCCUUUCGAUUCAUAUUCUCGUGGUUGCCUGUAUCUCUGCUGGACAAGCCGAUCACUCAAACCGACUCAGGAAACUGCUUUACACACGCCCUCUCUUUCAUCGAGCUUUUUUUUGCUCCGUUGUGUGCGUGUGUGUGUGUGCUACCAGUGAGAAGCGAAGGAAAAAAAAACUAGGAAAAGAAAAGCAAAUCACGCAUUCCGUUUAUGCUGUUCUCGCACCCCCCCUCUUCUCUUCCUCCCCAUUCCUUGACCUGAGCCUCCGUGCUGCUGUGCCUGCUGCUGCUCCUCCCCCUUUCCUCUCGCACGAGUGCAUCAAGUGUUGGAGAGGCGCAGGAACAGCUACGUCUCCUCUUUCCCCAGUCCUAGAAGCCGUCGAACAAGCGCAGUAUCAUUACGCGGCGCACCAUGGGCCUCUUUCUCGGUACUCUCAUCUUUAUCAUUAUCGGCGCUAUCGGUGCGCUGAGCGCCCCGCUCUGGGCGAAAAGCCAGGUCGACCUUGUCCGCGUAUUGUGCGCGGUGGCCACCUUCUGCUGCUGGAUGUCGUGGGUGCUCAUAUACAUGGCGCAGAUGAACCCGCUCCUGCUGCCCACCCGGUCGAUCAAGGUGGAGUGAAAAAAGGGGGAGGUGCCCCUGGUACAAGCUGUAGAGCAGCAGAUAAAGCGCGACGAAGGAAGAGCGUAAAUAACCUAUUUGGUGAUCGCCCUACGCUCCCCCGUGGUGUGUCGUUGCGGUUCCCUCCAGCGCACUCGAGGCCCUUCACGACGGUUUCGGGUUCCCUUUGCCUACUGCUGCUGGCGUGGAGGCGGUGAGUCCGGCGGUGAGGUCGUCCUCCGUCCUCGUCUCCUCUCAUCUCAGUCUUUGCUCAGUUCGAAGGCCCCGUGACCGUGCCGCGUCUCCUGUUGGUGUCUUUGUGUGGCUUUUGACACUGUGGCAGCCGCUGCUGCCGUUGGUGCCCCUCCUCCUCUCCCUCGCGCUUUUCGCAACCACAGGGAGCCGCACCGCCAUCGCUCACCGACGUCUAGUGAAGUGUUGGUCUGUCCUUUCCUUGGCACUCUGUCUCUCUGCGCUGUGUGUGUGUGCAGGCCUGUGCGUGUGCCGUCCUCACGUGUGCAUCCUACGAUGGGACGGAGGUGUGUGCCCGUGUCUGGUAUCGUCAUCACGCAUGCAGGAAAAUCGAGGCAAAAAAGGAGCGCAAGAUACGCUCCCGGGGGAGGGGGAGGGGGGGGAGCGAUGCACACGGCAGAAGUGGAAGCCGCGACGCCUCUUAUUCGUGUGUACAUGUCGAAGGCAUGGCGAUGUGUGAAAGACGGGCCAGAUUCCGGGUGUGCCCCUGAGACAUUCCCGCUCGUUUCAUGCGAAUAGACUAGCUCAGUGAUGAACUUGACUGACGGCAC